RNAcentral lists this microRNA precursor (62 nucleotides) under Pelobates cultripes (western spadefoot toad). Lineage: Eukaryota; Metazoa; Chordata; Amphibia; Anura; Pelobatidae. The record is from RNAcentral.
UAGUUCUGCAAUGUAAUUAUUGCAGGUACUCUAUAACUGCAAUGAUUUACAUUGCAGGACUA